CAUUUGCCUUACACAGGUGAUGUUCCUCACAACUGAGCACUCUGAUGCCAACAGCAGCAAUACGGAAAACCACUCUGGGACAGAGCAGCAGGAAAAGCUGCCUCGAGACUUCCCAGAGAUAUGACAGGAGCACCCUCAGUGUGAUGCCUGGUGAGUGAAAUGGAGCUGGCAGGCUGACCCACAAACAUUCUGUAUUUACCUGUCCAUGGAGCCAAUACUCAAACAGAACAAAUCUCUCUCGUAGUCGAGGUUCCUUGAGGUGCACCUGUAGAUGCUGCCAAGUGUCCUUGAGCAGUCAGAGCAGAAUAAGGUUUCUAGCAUGCUGUAAGAAAGAAAUAACAUUUAUUCAGAAGAAAAUAAAAGGAAGCACCUCUCCCCAUCCAUUUUCUUAAAAAAAAAAAAAAUAAUGCAUUAGAAUUUUUUAAAGCAUUUAUUCUUGCUUUACACAGUGUAAAUUAUGAGCUUUCAUCUUUCAGUCUGAGUUUGCCACAGCUCCUCAGGCUGACUGAUCUCAGGAAGACCAUCAGAAUCACUAAACGGUGGUCGGGACAUUAAAGCUCAUCCCAUUCCACCCCCUGCCGUGGGCAGGGACACCUCCCAGUGUCCCAGGCCAGGCUGGACACUGGGGCUUGGAGCAGCCUGGGACACUGCCAGGGAUCCAGGGGCAGCCACAGGGGCCUGGCCACCCUCACCGGGAAAAACUUCCUGUGAUACUCACCUAACCCUGCCUUCCUUCAUCCUGAGGCCAUCUCCAUUCCAAUGGCUCCGUGUCCCUGUGAGGAAUCCCUCUGCCUUGGGCCACAAGCGCUUGUACAGAGCACCCCACAUCAGAGUUCCAGGGGCUCUGGGGGCACACGAGCACUCGGGGCCCUCGGCCAGGCUUGUCCUCAGCACCUUGCCCGCGAAGCCCCGGCUGUGCCCGGCCAGGACCGGCUCUGUGCCCGGCUCUGUGCCCGGCCAGGACCGGCGCUCCCCACCCGCACCCGCCGGGCGGCUCGGAGCCCUCACGGCCCGGGCCCGCGGCGGCCGCACCGCGGCGGGAGGAGGAGGGAAGGAGGGAUGGCGGCAGGGACGGCCGGGCCGGGAGGAGGGAGGGAAGGCGGCAGGGACGGCCGGGGCGGCACUAAAAGAACGGCCCCGAGGCACCGCCUCCGAACGGCCCCGAGGCACCGGCGGCGCUGCCCGCGGACCCCGGCCCGGAGCCGCCCCCGCGCCUGCCCCAGAACCGCUCCCGGGAAAAAGGAGCGGAAAGUUACUCUGAACCACCUCUAGAAAAGUUUUGCUGUGCAUUCAGAUCAGCCGAGUGUUUAUUGCCUCCGGACUUAGAAAAUGGUGUAAU
RNAcentral lists this long non-coding RNA (1339 nucleotides) under Taeniopygia guttata (zebra finch). RNAcentral describes it as "lncRNA (ENSTGUG00000026186.1)". The record is from RNAcentral. Lineage: Eukaryota; Metazoa; Chordata; Aves; Passeriformes; Estrildidae.